This 429-nucleotide ribosomal RNA is filed under the name Chloroflexota bacterium. RNAcentral's name for it is "Chloroflexi bacterium partial 16S ribosomal RNA". It matches the Rfam family "Bacterial small subunit ribosomal RNA", at positions 355 to 776 of the family's 1533-position model. Lineage: Bacteria; Bacillati; Chloroflexota. The record is from RNAcentral.
UGGGGAAUAUUGCACAAUGGGCGCAAGCCUGAUGCAGCCAUGCCGCGUGUAUGAAGAAGGCCUUCGGGUUGUAAAGUACUUUCAGCGGGGAGGAAGGGAGUAAAGUUAAUACCUUUGCUCAUUGACGUUACCCGCAGAAGAAGCACCGGCUAACUCCGUGCCAGCAGCCGCGGUAAUACGGAGGGUGCAAGCGUUAAUCGGAAUUACUGGGCGUAAAGCGCACGCAGGCGGUUUGUUAAGUCAGAUGUGAAAUCCCCGGGCUCAACCUGGGAACUGCAUCUGAUACUGGCAAGCUUGAGUCUCGUAGAGGGGGGUAGAAUUCCAGGUGUAGCGGUGAAAUGCGUAGAGGUCUGGAGGAAUACCGGUGGCGAAGGCGGCCCCCUGGACGAAGACUGGCGCUCAGGUGCGAAAGCGUGGGGAGCAAACAGG